GACGAACGCUUGCGGCGUGCUUAACACAUGCAAGUCGAACGGAAAGGCCCUGCUUUUGUGGGGUGCUCGAGUGGCGAACGGGUGAGUAACACGUGAGUAACCUGCCCUUGACUUUGGGAUAACUUCAGGAAACUGGGGCUAAUACCGGAUAGGAGCUCCUGCUGCAUGGUGGGGGUUGGAAAGUUUCGGCGGUUGGGGAUGGACUCGCGGCUUAUCAGCUUGUUGGUGGGGUAGUGGCUUACCAAGGCUUUGACGGGUAGCCGGCCUGAGAGGGUGACCGGCCGCAUUGGGACUGAGAUACGGCCCAGACUCCUACGGGAGGCAGCAGUGGGGAAUAUUGCACGAUGGGCGGAAGCCUGAUGCAGCAACGCCGCGUGCGGGAUGACGGCCUUCGGGUUGUAAACCGCUUUCGCCUGUGACGAAGCGUGAGUGACGGUAAUGGGUAAAGAAGCACCGGCUAACUACGUGCCAGCAGCCGCGGUGAUACGUAGGGUGCGAGCGUUGUCCGGAUUUAUUGGGCGUAAAGGGCUCGUAGGUGGUUGAUCGCGUCGGAAGUGUAAUCUUGGGGCUUAACCCUGAGCGUGCUUUCGAUACGGGUUGACUUGAGGAAGGUAGGGGAGAAUGGAAUUCCUGGUGGAGCGGUGGAAUGCGCAGAUAUCAGGAGGAACACCAGUGGCGAAGGCGGUUCUCUGGGCCUUUCCUGACGCUGAGGAGCGAAAGCGUGGGGAGCGAACAGGCCUAGAUACCCUGGUAGUCCACGCUGUAAACGGUGGGUACUAGGUGUGGGGUCCAUUCCACGGGUUCCGUGCCGUAGCUAACGCUUUAAGUACCCCGCCUGGGGAGUACGGCCGCAAGGCUAAAACUCAAAGGAAUUGACGGGGCCCCGCACAAGCGGCGGAGCAUGCGGAUUAAUUCGAUGCAACGCGUAGAACCUUACCUGGGUUUGACAUGGAUCGGGAGUGCUCAGAGAUGGGUGUGCCUCUUUUGGGGUCGGUUCACAGGUGGUGCAUGGCUAUCGUCAGCUCGUGUCGUGAGAUGUUGGGUUAAGUCCCGCAACGAGCGCAACCCUUGUUCACUGUUGCCAGCACGUUAUGGUGGGGACUCAGUGGAGACCGCCGGGGUCAACUCGGAGGAAGGUGGGGAUGACGUCAAGUCGUCAUGCCCCUUAUGUCCAGGGCUUCACGCAUGCUACAAUGGCUGGUACAGAGAGUGGCGAGCCUGUGAGGGUGAGCGAAUCUCGGAAAGCCGGUCUCAGUUCGGAUUGGGGUCUGCAACUCGACCUCAUGAAGUCGGAGUCGCUAGUAAUCGCAGAUCAGCAACGCUGCGGUGAAUACGUUCCCGGGGCU
RNAcentral lists this ribosomal RNA (1346 nucleotides) under uncultured bacterium. Its description in RNAcentral is "partial 16S ribosomal RNA". It matches the Rfam family "Bacterial small subunit ribosomal RNA", at positions 28 to 1381 of the family's 1533-position model. The record is from RNAcentral.